This 477-nucleotide ribosomal RNA is filed under the name uncultured eukaryote. Its description in RNAcentral is "partial 18S ribosomal RNA". It matches the Rfam family "Eukaryotic small subunit ribosomal RNA", at positions 529 to 889 of the family's 1831-position model. The record is from RNAcentral.
AAACCCUUACGAGUAACGAUUAGAGGGCAAGUCUGUGCCAGCAGACCGUCGGUAAUUCCAGCUCUAAUAGCGUAUAUUAAGUUGUUGCAGUUAAAAAGCUCGUAGUUGGAUUUUAGUGGGUUAUUUUUAGAUAAUUGGUCGGAUAGGAAACUAUUCUUGUACUAGUUAUCACCCACUUUUAACUUACUGGUUACUCGACUCUGUACUUUAUUGGAUGGAGUAGUAUCGCAAGGUAUCAUUAAGAGUUAAAUUGCUUGUAAAUGUAGGUUUUGAGGUAAAACUUGGAUUGAAAUUUGCAGGAUCACAGUUUGAUUUUUAAUGGGGUUCCAGUUCAUUUACUUUGAGUAAAUUAGAGUGUUCAAAGCAGCCUCUUGGGGCAUUGAAUAUAUUAGCAUGGGAUAAUAGAAUAGGAUUUCUUCUAUAUUUUGUUGGUUUUAUUAUAGAUUGAAAUAAUGAUUAAUAGGGAUAGUUGGGGGC